AAGGUAGUGCGCUAACCGCAAGGAGGCAGCUAACCACGGUAGGGUCAGCGACUGGGGUGAAGUCGUAACAAGGUAGCCGUAGGGGAACCUGCGGCUGGAUCACCUCCUUUCUAAGGA
Molecule: ribosomal RNA, 117 nt
Filed under: Ensifer sp. ENS08
Lineage: Bacteria; Pseudomonadati; Pseudomonadota; Alphaproteobacteria; Hyphomicrobiales; Rhizobiaceae
Description: partial 16S ribosomal RNA
Rfam family: Bacterial small subunit ribosomal RNA
Source: RNAcentral